UGGGAAUAUUGCACAAUGGGCGCAAGCCUGAUGCAGCCAUGCCGCGUGUGUGAAGAAGGCCUUCGGGUUGUAAAGCACUUUCAGCGAGGAGGAAGGGUAGUGUGUUAAUAGCACAUUGCAUUGACGUUACUCGCAGAAGAAGCACCGGCUAACUCCGUGCCAGCAGCCGCGGUAAUACGGAGGGUGCAAGCGUUAAUCGGAAUUACUGGGCGUAAAGCGCACGCAGGCGGUUUGUUAAGUCAGAUGUGAAAUCCCCGCGCUUAACGUGGGAACUGCAUUUGAAACUGGCAAGCUAGAGUCUUGUAGAGGGGGGUAGAAUUCCAGGUGUAGCGGUGAAAUGCGUAGAGAUCUGGAGGAAUACCGGUGGCGAAGGCGGCCCCCUGGACAAAGACUGACGCUCAGGUGCGAAAGCGUGGGGAGCAAACA
RNAcentral lists this ribosomal RNA (426 nucleotides) under uncultured bacterium. RNAcentral describes it as "partial 16S ribosomal RNA". It matches the Rfam family "Bacterial small subunit ribosomal RNA", at positions 356 to 774 of the family's 1533-position model. The record is from RNAcentral.